Molecule: long non-coding RNA, 728 nt
Filed under: Mus musculus (house mouse)
Lineage: Eukaryota; Metazoa; Chordata; Mammalia; Rodentia; Muridae
Description: lincRNA-EC136
Source: RNAcentral
AUACCCUUCAGGUGUGGCUUGCUUUGGGGACUAAUGACAUGCUAAGAUCUAGUCUCAUCCAUGGUGACUACAUCAUGAGAAGCCAUAUUGAAUCAAAGUAAAUGUCACCUUCUAUAGAGUUUAAGACCAGCAAGAAAAUGAGACCUUGUCCUGGGCCGGACUUUCAUUUCCAUUCCUGAACUAAAUACCAUCUUCAGGAGAAUUUCGUGCUCUGGUCAGGAGGAAAUCUAGCCCACACCCCAUGUAACUGGGCUAGAUUCAGGAGAAAUGGAGGGAAUAGGGGGUGGGGGCAGCGGGGGAUAGAGAUGAGAUGAGAUGAUGCUGUUGGGAAAGAGAAACAGAAGUGGAAUGGCAGGAAGACACAGAAGCCUAAGGUAUAUUCUCUCUUGGGUCACCUACAUUCACAGACCCCCUGCUAGCCUCUUCUCUUCUCAAGAUGUCUGAUUUGUCCUGGUUUCACUCCCAGCAGGUAGAAUUGAGAGAAGAUGCCUGGAAACCUUAUAAACCAGAAAACAGGACUUCUGCUCUGAGCUCAACAUGCUCCCUUGCAGACUCACCUUAGAGGAUCAACCAGAACGGGACGAGACAGCAGAUGCUCCUGCUGCAGUGACUUCCCUACACUGAUGGACUGGAACCUGGAACUGUGAGCUGAACUAUAUUCUCAGCAACAAGAGAAACUCCGCACAGCUCCCAGGAAGGUGAGCAGCACCCCUGACUGUCAUGAGGCA